This 362-nucleotide unclassified non-coding RNA is filed under the name uncultured cyanobacterium. Its description in RNAcentral is "partial contains 16S ribosomal RNA and 16S-23S ribosomal RNA intergenic spacer". Lineage: Bacteria; Bacillati; Cyanobacteriota. The record is from RNAcentral.
GUCGUAACAAGGUAGCCGUACCGGAAGGUGUGGCUGGAUCACCUCCUUUUAGGGAGACCUAAUCCAUUUAGAAAUUGAGGGUGAUGAAAAUUGCCAAUAAAAACUAAAUUGGUCUAACCUAGGUCGGUCGAGAUUGGUAGAUAUCUUUCAAAGUAUUAUUUGGCUUAGUUCAAAAAUUGAAUCAAAGUCAGCACCUAACAACUAUAGCUAGACUGCUGGGUUAAAUUCCAGCCAGAACCUUGAAAACUGCAUAAGAGAAAGAAAAAAAGCACCGCAGACACAGACAUGAAAGUGUUUCGUGGAAGCAAAAGAAAUUGUGGUCAAGCUAAUAAGGGCUAAUGGUGGAUACCUAGGCACACAGA